CGCCUCUUGCUAACAAAGGAAGUACUAGAGGUCCCGCCUGCCCUGUGACCACAAAGUUUAACGGCCGCGGUAUCCUGACCGUGCGAAGGUAGCGUAAUCAUUUGUCUUUUAAAUAGAGACCUGUAUGAAUGGCAUAACGAGGGUUUAACUGUCUCCUUCCCCUAGUCAAUGAAAUUGAUCUGCCCGUGCAGAAGCGGACAUAAACACAUAAGACGAGAAGACCCUAUGGAGCUUUAGACAAAAGAUCAAACAUGUAAAGAAACCAAACCAACCAAAAGGAWCACGAAGGCCACAAAACCCAACGUAA
This 307-nucleotide ribosomal RNA is filed under the name Anguilla anguilla (European eel). RNAcentral describes it as "partial large subunit ribosomal RNA". It matches the Rfam family "Bacterial large subunit ribosomal RNA", at positions 1816 to 2459 of the family's 2925-position model. Lineage: Eukaryota; Metazoa; Chordata; Actinopteri; Anguilliformes; Anguillidae. The record is from RNAcentral.